GAUGAAGAACGUAGCGAAAUGCGAUACUGGGUGUGAAUUGCAGAAUCCCGUGAACCAUCGAGUCUUUGAACGCAAGUUGCGCCCGAAGCCAUCAGGUUGAGGGCACGUCUGCCUGGGCGUCACAUAUCGUUGCCCAAUGCCUAUUGCAGUGCAAUAGGCAUUUCUAGGGCGAAUGAUGGCUUCCCGUGAGCGUUGUUGCCUCGCGGUUGGUUGAAAAUCGAGUCCUUGGUAGGGUGUGCCAUGGUAGAUGGUGGUCGAGUUAGAACGAUACCGAUCAUGUGCAUGCUCCCCAAAAUAUGGCCUCUAUGACCCACACGCGUCUUUUGACGCUCAUGACGAGACCUCAGGUCAGGCGGGGCUACCCGCUGAAUUUAAGCAUAUCAAUAAGCGGAGGA
This 395-nucleotide unclassified non-coding RNA is filed under the name soil metagenome. RNAcentral describes it as "partial contains 5.8S ribosomal RNA, internal transcribed spacer 2, and large subunit ribosomal RNA". The stretch from base 1 to 122 matches the Rfam family "5.8S ribosomal RNA", at positions 35 to 154 of the family's 154-position model. The record is from RNAcentral.